Molecule: ribosomal RNA, 377 nt
Filed under: uncultured Gammaproteobacteria bacterium
Lineage: Bacteria; Pseudomonadati; Pseudomonadota; Gammaproteobacteria
Description: bacterial SSU rRNA
Rfam family: Bacterial small subunit ribosomal RNA
Source: RNAcentral
UAAUACGGAGGGUGCGAGCGUUAAUCGGAAUUACUGGGCGUAAAGCGUACGUAGGCGGUUCAGUCAGUCAGAUGUGAAAGCCCUGGGCUCAACCUGGGAACUGCAUUUGAUACUGCUGAACUAGAGUGUGGUAGAGGGAAGUGGAAUUCCGGGUGUAGCGGUGAAAUGCGUAGAUAUCCGGAGGAACACCAGUGGCGAAGGCGGCUUCCUGGACCAACACUGACGCUGAGGUACGGAAGCGUGGGUAGCAAACAGGAUUAGAUACCCUGGUAGUCCACGCUGUAAACGAUGUCAACUAGCCGUUGGGGAGUUUAAUCUCUUUAGUGGCGCAGCUAACGCGAUAAGUUGACCGCCUGGGGAGUACGGCCGCAAGGUUA